This 1341-nucleotide long non-coding RNA is filed under the name Callithrix jacchus (white-tufted-ear marmoset). RNAcentral describes it as "lncRNA (ENSCJAG00000081162.1)". The record is from RNAcentral. Lineage: Eukaryota; Metazoa; Chordata; Mammalia; Primates; Cebidae.
AUGUUAAGAAGUCUUCAGAAUCAUUUCCUACCCUCUCAAGGAACCCAUUCUCUCAAGGCACACACUGUUCCUGUCGGAGAGGCUGUCUCCCUACACCAUUCCUGUCAGAGGCUCCCUAUACCAUUCCUGUCAGAGAGGCUGUCUCCCUACACCAUUCCUGUUGGAGGCUGUCUCCCUACACCAUUCCUGUCGGAAGCUGUCUUCCUACACUGUUCCUGUCGGAGGCUCCCUACACCAUUCCUGUCAGAGAGGCUGUCUCCGUACACCAUUCCUGUCGGAGGCUGUCUCCCUACACCAUUCCUGUCGGAGGCUGUCUCCCUACACCGUUCCUGUCAGAGGCUGUCUCCCUACACCAUUCCUGUCGGAGGCUGUCUCCCUACACCGUUCCUGUCGGAGGCUGUCUCCCUACACCGUUCCUGUCGGAGGCUGUCUCCCUACACCGUUCCUGUCGGAGAGGCUGUCUCCCUACACCGUUCCUGUCGGAGAGGCUGUCUCCAUACACCGUUCCUGUCAGAGGCUGUCUCCCUACACCGUUCCUGUCGGAGAGGCUGUCUCCCUACACCGUUCCUGUCGGAGAGGCUGUCUCCAUACACCGUUCCUGUCGGAGGCUGUCUCCCUACACCGUUCCUGUCGGAGAGGCUGUCUCCCUACACCGUUCCUGUCGGAGAGGCUGUCUCCCUACACCGUUCCUGUCGGAGAGGCUGUCUCCCUACACCGUUCCUGUCAGAGAGGCUGUCUCCCUACACCGUUCCUGUCGGAGAGGCUGUCUCCCUACACCGUUCCUGUCGGAGAGGCUGUCUCCAUACACCGUUCCUGUCGGAGGCUGUCUCCAUACACCGUUCCUGUCGGAGAGGCUGUCUCCCUACACCGUUCCUGUCGGAGAGGCUGUCUCCCUACACCGUUCCUGUCGGUGGCUGUCUCCCUACACCGUUCCUGUCGGAGGCUGUCUCCCUACACCGUUCCUGUCGGAGGCUGUCUCCCUACACCGUUCCUGUCGGAGGCUGUCUCCCUACACCGUUCCUGUCGGAGGCUCCCUACACCAUUCCUGUCAGAGAGGCUGUCUCCCUACACCAUUCCUGUCAGAGGCUCCCUACACCAUUCCUGUCAGAGAGGCUGUCUCCCUACACCAUUCCUGUCAGAGGCUCCCUACACCAUUCCUGUCGGAGAGGCUGUCUCCCUACACCGUUCCUGUCGGAGGCUGUCUCCCUACACCGUUCCUGUAGGAGGCUGUCUCCCUACACCGUUCCUGUCGGAGAGGCUGUCUCCCUACACCGUUCCUGUCGGAGGCUGUCUCCCUACACCGUUCCUGUCGGAGGCUGUCUCCCUACACCGUUCCUGUAG